AGAGUUUGAUCUUGGCUCAGGAUGAACGCUGGCGGCGUGCCUAAUACAUGCAAGUCGAGCGAACAGAUAAGGAGCUUGCUCCUUUGACGUUAGCGGCGGACGGGUGAGUAACACGUGGGUAACCUACCUAUAAGACUGGGAUAACUUCGGGAAACCGGAGCUAAUACCGGAUAACAUUUGGAACCGCAUGGUUCUAAAGUGAAAGAUGGUUUUGCUAUCACUUAUAGAUGGACCCGCGCCGUAUUAGCUAGUUGGUAAGGUAACGGCUUACCAAGGCGACGAUACGUAGCCGACCUGAGAGGGUGAUCGGCCACACUGGAACUGAGACACGGUCCAGACUCCUACGGGAGGCAGCAGUAGGGAAUCUUCCGCAAUGGGCGAAAGCCUGACGGAGCAACGCCGCGUGAGUGAUGAAGGGUUUCGGCUCGUAAAACUCUGUUAUUAGGGAAGAACAAACGUGUAAGUAACUGUGCACGUCUUGACGGUACCUAAUCAGAAAGCCACGGCUAACUACGUGCCAGCAGCCGCGGUAAUACGUAGGUGGCAAGCGUUAUCCGGAAUUAUUGGGCGUAAAGCGCGCGUAGGCGGUUUCUUAAGUCUGAUGUGAAAGCCCACGGCUC
This 620-nucleotide ribosomal RNA is filed under the name Staphylococcus succinus. RNAcentral's name for it is "bacterial SSU rRNA". It matches the Rfam family "Bacterial small subunit ribosomal RNA", at positions 8 to 610 of the family's 1533-position model. Lineage: Bacteria; Bacillati; Bacillota; Bacilli; Caryophanales; Staphylococcaceae. The record is from RNAcentral.